ACGACUCUCGGCAACGGAUAUCUCGGCUCUCGCAUCGAUGAAGAACGUAGCGAAAUGCGAUACUUGGUGUGAAUUGCAGAAUCCCGUGAACCAUCGAGUUUUUGAACGCAAGUUGCGCCCAAAGCCUUUUGGCCGAGGGCACGUCUGCCUGGGUGUCACGCAACAU
RNAcentral lists this ribosomal RNA (166 nucleotides) under Croton monanthogynus. RNAcentral's name for it is "5.8S ribosomal RNA". It matches the Rfam family "5.8S ribosomal RNA". From Rfam's summary of the family: 5.8S ribosomal RNA (5.8S rRNA) is a component of the large subunit of the eukaryotic ribosome. Lineage: Eukaryota; Viridiplantae; Streptophyta; Magnoliopsida; Malpighiales; Euphorbiaceae. The record is from RNAcentral. RNAcentral also lists the same sequence under 1 other name.